This 264-nucleotide ribosomal RNA is filed under the name uncultured bacterium. RNAcentral's name for it is "partial 16S ribosomal RNA". It matches the Rfam family "Bacterial small subunit ribosomal RNA", at positions 511 to 774 of the family's 1533-position model. The record is from RNAcentral.
GCAGCCGCGGUAAUACGGAGGAUCCGAGCGUUAUCCGGAUUUAUUGGGUUUAAAGGGAGCGUAGACGGAUAGGCAAGUCUGGAGUGAAGGCCCGGGGCUCAACCCCGGGACUGCUUUGGAAACUGUUUAUCUAGAGUGCUGGAGAGGUAAGUGGAAUUCCUAGUGUAGCGGUGAAAUGCGUAGAUAUUAGGAGGAACACCAGUGGCGAAGGCGGCUUACUGGACAGUAACUGACGUUGAGGCUCGAAAGCGUGGGGAGCAAACA